RNAcentral lists this unclassified non-coding RNA (527 nucleotides) under Hevea brasiliensis (rubber tree). Lineage: Eukaryota; Viridiplantae; Streptophyta; Magnoliopsida; Malpighiales; Euphorbiaceae. The record is from RNAcentral.
GAAGCCUUAGGACAUAGAAAUCCUAUUUUGUUUGCAUUUUGCCAAAUAUAAUGUUCUUCUGUUGGCAUACUGCUCCUCUUUGGCUUGACUUUCCUAUUCAUAGAAAUGUGAAAGGAACUUUAGGUUUUUGAUCCAAAUGUUUAUUCUUAUUCGUGUUGACAUUAUUGAUAUUUUAAAACCUGCGCUAGUUCUUGUAUCCUUGAUUGCAUAUGUGAAUUUCCUAAUGUAAGUUUUAUUUAUAGGAAGGGGAAAAUAUGGUGAAUAUUGAUUUGCUAUAGAAACUGAUUUUAUGUUUUCUAUUUGUCGUAAGAUUGCAUUCACAUCAUUAGUUACACACUUACACUUGUAGCACAAUUCUCUUCUGUAAUUGCUUUGCCAUAUACUCUGGGAAGCCAGAUGUGAGAACCAGAACUGGCUUUCAUUUUGUCCUAGUUAAAAGUCUAUCCUGACUUAUAUUCUAAUUAAUAAAUCAGCUAUUCAUGAUUUCAUGGAUGUUUUGUGCAGAAAGAAGGCACAUACAAGGGGAA